UACGUAGGGGGCAAGCGUUGUCCGGAUUUAUUGGGCGUAAAGAGCGUGUAGGCGGCCUGAAAGGUCAGCUGUGAAAACUCGAGGCUCAACCUCGAGACGUCGGUUGAAACCAUCUGGCUAGAGUCCGGAAGAGGAGAGUGGAAUUCCUGGUGUAGCGGUGAAAUGCGCAGAUAUCAGGAAGAACACCCGUGGCUAAGGCGGCUCUCUAGUACGUGACUGACGCUGAGACGCGAAAGCGUGGGGAGCGAACAGG
This 253-nucleotide ribosomal RNA is filed under the name uncultured bacterium. RNAcentral's name for it is "partial 16S ribosomal RNA". It matches the Rfam family "Bacterial small subunit ribosomal RNA", at positions 524 to 776 of the family's 1533-position model. The record is from RNAcentral.